GCACCAGUGAUUAAGUGGUAGAAUAGUACCUUGCCACGGUACAGAACCGGGUUCGAUUCUCGACUGGUGCA
Ipomoea nil (Japanese morning glory) is the source of this 71-nucleotide transfer RNA. It matches the Rfam family "tRNA". Rfam says of the family: Transfer RNA (tRNA) molecules are approximately 80 nucleotides in length. Lineage: Eukaryota; Viridiplantae; Streptophyta; Magnoliopsida; Solanales; Convolvulaceae. The record is from Rfam.